Non-coding RNA from Pelobates cultripes (western spadefoot toad), 205 nucleotides. Lineage: Eukaryota; Metazoa; Chordata; Amphibia; Anura; Pelobatidae. The record is from the annotation of a GenBank genome assembly.
CUGGAACCAUUACCACUACCGAACUAUGUAGUGGUUAGGGUGCCAGGAGAGUUCCUUUAAGCAAGAAAUUAUGGGAUAUUAGGAUUUGUCAAACCGUAUGACCCAGCACAUCAAAAUCAUUUUAUUUGUGUGUCCAUGCACUGUUUGUUUAAUGUGCAUUAUGUAAGUAAUUUGAAUUUUGUAAAAAAUAUAUAGGUUAUAACAG